RNAcentral lists this ribosomal RNA (973 nucleotides) under Triticum aestivum (bread wheat). RNAcentral's name for it is "partial small subunit ribosomal RNA". Lineage: Eukaryota; Viridiplantae; Streptophyta; Magnoliopsida; Poales; Poaceae. The record is from RNAcentral.
AGUGGUCUAGGGACAGGCCGCUGCCCUAUGAAGCAAGGGUAGCUGUUUACAGGGGUUAGGUUGAGCUCGCCACCGGCAGUCGUGGUGAUGGUGUCGUAGAAGGAGGAGACUUCUUCUAGGUGGUCCUUCGACGCAGGGUCCACGCUGCGGCAACCACACCGGCAACCGCUGCGGCAACCUCACCGGCAACCGGUCAGGCUCUUGGUGGCGCGCCGACGCAACGUCGAGCCGGGCGCCGUGAUACACGGUCGCCGCCCCGCGGCUACCCGGUCACCUCGACGAGCGGGUCAACAGCUUCUGCAGGGGCUCGCGUCGUCGGGCGCGCCCCUCCGCGUCGGGCUCCGAUCGCGAGCUGCUUCUUCGGGGUCGCGGCCGGCGGAGCACGCGGCCGCAGCCUCUGGCUUCUGCGCCCCUCAGGCCGACGCGCCCGAGGCGCCCGCCGCGUCCAAGCCGGAGGAGGACCUGGAGCAUUAGAACACCGCCCCCACCGACGUCCUGGUAGGUACCGGGGGUUGGUACGUGGCCCGUGCCUGCGCCACCACCUCCUCGGCGUUCAAGGCCGAGUUGCAGCUGCAGGUGACGCAGCAGGCGCCCGAGGUCAUGGAGCAGGCGCAUGUCCAAACCUCGCCAGCCAGGCGGUUCUUAGGUCCGGCCCUCGCCGCGGCGGCGGCCGUACCGGCCAAGCCCGCCUCGUAAUCUUCCGGGUCGUGGUAGCGCUGGGGCUCGCGGUACAGGUUCUGCACCAGGUGCCGCUGCCUUUGGCAAGGCCGCCGGAGGCUUGGCCGCAUCUAGUGCCCGCACCGCCAUAACCGCCGCUUCAGGCGGUUGUGGUACCGCUGCCGCUGCCGGGACAGCCGCAGAUGGCGGCGAUGCUUGUUCCACGUCCUUCUUCCUGUCCUCUGGUGCUCCGUAGGAGAGUGGAAAAGGAAAGAAGGGAAGACCAAGAGAAAAGGCCGCUGACAGCGGCCGCACU